This 133-nucleotide transfer RNA is filed under the name Desulfovibrio sp. OttesenSCG-928-G15. Its description in RNAcentral is "tRNA-OTHER". The record is from RNAcentral. Lineage: Bacteria; Pseudomonadati; Thermodesulfobacteriota; Desulfovibrionia; Desulfovibrionales; Desulfovibrionaceae.
GAAGAGGAAGGGAACGUUCAUUUUGCGCUCUUGCAGUAAACGCCAAUAACGCCUCAGAAUAGGCUUAAAUCGACUCGAAAUCGAGUUAGCACAGAGAUGUGCUACGUGGGUUCGAAUCCCACCCUCUCCGCCA